CCCUUUCUUCCUCACUUCUAUUACACACAUUUAUUCCACCAAUCAGUCACUUUUGGUCUGUUUGCAGCACAACUCUCCAGCAUCAGAAUUAUUUUUUUGGGGUUUAGACUGAAGGUGAUCACUGUCAAACUGUCUUAUUGAAAGAAAAAUAUUUUUGCUUUCAUGGUCAUGAAUUCUUGAAAUUCCAGUUCAACCCCUAGUUGCACCUCAUUGUCAAAUGUGUAUUCACUGAUUAACCACCCCACCCACUUCCUCCACCUGGCCUGCCACCACUAAACCAUAUUAAACCAAGCAGAAUGAAAGAGAGGAACUUGAAUCUGUGUGAUAAGAACGUAUCUUCAUUUUAUAAAAAGUUUUCAGUUGCAAACCGAACUAUAUAUAUAUAAACAUGUAUAUUUAAAAUGACUAUUUUGGGCGUCAACUACAAGCACAUAAAGAAUGAAUAUAUGGCCCCUGUGUAAAAAUGGGUGAACCAACCCGUUAUUUAAUCAUUCCCGGGUCCCAUCCAUCCCUGUUUAAGGAUCUGUAUCCGCUCCAACAGAAAAGGUCUAUUAAACCUUGUCCAUCCUUAUCCUCAUCCAAAACAAUUACAAUGUAUCCUCUCAGUUACAGAGCAAAACAGAGAUCUGAACUCAGAUGUAGAGUCGCCAUGUUGACACCAGACAUUCCAAAAGGAUUUUAUUCCAUUCCAUGUUGCAAAUAAUCAUUGUCCUGUUGUGGAAUGUCUAGUUCCAGCGGGGAAAACAAAAUACCAAAUGUCUGUGUCCUUCACAGUAUUCACCACCAACCUACUGCUCCUUUGUCUUCCCAGAUAGUCAUGUAGUAUCUGUUUGCUCAACACCACAGCACAACCUCACCACUGACUGUACAUCACUGUCACAGUCUCAACCAACUAAAUCUCAGAUGACUUCAUGAAAAUGUAUUGAACCUCAGCCUGUCAACUUCAGGUGUUGAGACAAAGGAGAGACGGAUGGGUUUGAUGUGUCCAAUAUGACCAUUAUAUUAUUCAGCGACAUUAUUCACCGUAAUGUCAUGAAACCAUCUAGUUUUAACGUAUAAUCACCCUCGACUGGAUAGAUCUGCUUAUGUACCAGCACCACAGAGCUCAAAUCAAAGUGGUAUCACAGUAUAUUCGUCACUCUGGUGUUUCCUCCAGAAAAAGUCUUGAUGAAUGAAUUACCUUAAUUAUCAAAACAUCCUUCCGAUAUGGCCUGUAGUAGUUUGGAUGAAGGUUUUGCAGAUCCAGGUACAAUGGGCCUCAGCAUCUGGCUUCCUCGGUUCCUCAGAGCCGCCAUGUCCCCUGUAACGUGCUGCGAGUGAUCCUCAUGCAUGUUCCUCGCUCGACCCUUCCCCUUCAGAAUUGCUUCACACUUUUAUGUUGUGCUAUGCAAUACCUGUCAAAAUGUUGGACACACACGUGUCCAAACUCUUGACUGCUGCUGUAUGUUUCGCUCAUCCUCACUUCACGCCUCCAUUCAUUCCAGCCCAGUGUGCUCCCAGUCCCCCUGCCUCCCCGACCAGCCUGGCCACUCCCCCCUCCUCCGCUGACUUCCCCCGACCCCGCCCACAUCAUGAAGGUGUGAGUCUGUGAAGGUGAGUUCCCGCCCACCAACCACACCUACCUACCCCCUGACCAACCCCGCCCCCUCUCUCGUCUCCUCCUCCUAACUCACGACCUCUCCGGCACCUCCUUGGUUUGGGCCGAGCUCUCUGUUUUUCCCUCAGGUGAUCUUUAACAUCGCUCUUUUAUUGCUACUUUUUACUGCUAUAUGCUUUGCAAAAUGUAUUUACUUACUAAAAAGUGGAGUUUGCUCUCAACGGACAUCGUACCAAAAUAAUUGUAUGUAUCUCACUAAAAGGCCUUUUCCUAGAUAUUGUUAUCCUUUUAAGGUGUGGAAAAAGAUGGACCUAUACAAUUACAGCAGUGACCUAUCUCUUUAAAUGUUUUGGAUGCAUACCAUUAAACUUGGGAUUGUCUGUCUGUCACUUUUGUACUGAUAUAAAACAUGGGGAGGAAGCAAGUCUGAAGAGAUGCUGCUGUUAGAAAGAGUGAUGACAGCUGACACAGACAUUAAGUUGUGCAGCUUGCACUUGAACACAGUUUUAGAUAAUUGAAUAACUAAUCUGUUAUUACCAAUAGCUUACAGCGUUUUGGCCAAUGCAUGCAUCUCGUUGCCCUAGCACCGUAACACCCUUCCUUUUACAGGGAUUUACAUUGACCAGAGCACUGUGGUGGUAGUUUGUGCCAAUAAGCUUUGAAUGAAACCAUGCUGCUACGUUCAACACAUUCCUAGCAAUAAAUCCCAGUAAAGAUAAAUAACUGUUUCCCGUUAGGAGGCUAACGGCCAUCACAUUCAGCACCCCGUACCUUUAACAGUUAAGUGUAAUCACAUCGUAUGUAUGAAAUGAGAAUCAAGUACCAGAGUGUCUAAUGAGUUUAUAUGUUUAGGAGUUGAUACUGGUUGGUUACAAGUAUUAUCAUAAUAAGUUGUUUACAAAAUGUUCUUGCCAGUCGUGGUCAAAAACCCAAAACCCACAAACUAUCCAGAUGUUUUGCCUCUAAUACGUUUAUUAAUUCUGUCAGAAAAGGGUCCUGUCAUUCUUGGUCAAUCGCUGAAAAACCACACAUUUUCCUGAUGAUUUUCCCUGCAUUAGGUUUGGCAAAAACAACUUAACAUAGCUGUAUUACUUUUCAUCUUUGGCAAGGUCUCAAAUGGUAUUUCUCAAAGCCAAGUGCACAAAUUGAACGCAGACACAAAAUGAUGGAACAAUCGAACCAUGCCGAAAAAUGUAUGUUGGCUGGUGGAUGUUGUGAUACGACUCACUAAUCCUUGAUGUGACAUCUAUUGACUCUUCCUUAAUAACUAUAAUUUAAAAAUAAUCCCCAGAUUAACAGUGGGACCUCCUGUGCUUAGCAACAUUCUUCAGCAUCCUGAUCCGGGCUGGCCUGGAACGGUUGGCCAUUAUGACACAAUACAAAGAGCUGCCCUGUACUUCAGAAAUGAUACUUAUAGGAGUUCAGAUGUGUUUGGACAUGAACGAUUCUCUCUCUGUACCUCCCUUUACAAAAUUCCCACUUUCUCUACAUCCAUUCCUCCCUCUAUUUUUCUCACUUUCUUUCUUUUGUCUUGCCUCCGCUUUUCCUCUCUAGCUCAAGCUCUGGCUGCCGUCACGUUUGAUGGAGCAUCCUUCUGAGGAUCUACUGGAACAUGAAAUAAAAUCCCAAAGAAACUGCUUUUGUUUAUUCAACCUCCACAAAAAGUCCCCAACAGAAAGUAGCAGGACGUCCAACUGAGGACAUUUUCACGCCAAACAGAUGAUUGAUGGAGAGAAUGAAGGGCCACACCUCCCACUCACCGGUAGGAGGGCGCCAUGAAGGCACCUUCCUUGGUCAGCUACUACUCUUCUUAGCCCUGGCCGGGCAGAAACAACUGCUCUCCCAUGCUGUACAGACAGUGGAACAGCGUUUGGCCAGGAGGCCAUGGUUAGAAGGAUCACAGGGACAUGAGACCCAGGAGGAUGUUAGAGUAUCGUGACUGAUCGGUUCCGGGGGACAUUUAUCGUACGUGAUGCACAGUUCGCUGGUAAGAUGAACAGGGAAUCGACGGCCGGAGCUGGACUUUAGUUGAAACGACUGGGGAGAGGAAGGUUUUUAGUGGUGCCGAGAGCAGUACAGAACCAAUCAGAGAGCAGUACUGAACCAACGAGAGGCUGACGUGUUUUGUAUCACAGGGAAAGGUCCCAGGCAAGGACUAGGAAGCACAUGGAAAGUUGUUGAAGAGCUACAAAGAUAUGAGUGGAACAGUACCAAAAUAGUAGGAAGAGCAUCAGAAAAGAAUAUGGCCUCAUUCGAGCAAUGUAGUCUCCUUGACCCCUAGGUCGUUAUCUCAAACUCAGUUAUACAAUCCUUUAUGUUUGACUUCCUGCCAUUGUCCUCAGAAACCAUUAGUUGGUGAGCUGUCUUGCAUAGACACUGCGUGUGGCACACUCAACGCAUACACACACACACGUACGCACACACACAUAUAUACACACACACGUAUACACACACACACACACACACCAUCCUUCUUCCCCCAACCUCAUAGUUGCAGGGCACAGGUGUACAGCUGUGGUGGAAUGAGCCACCCUCCUUUCCAUUCAAAAUCUUAUAUCCUGGAUGAGGAACCUGCCUAGUGCAGAAUGAACCUGGCCUCCCAGCCCUGUACCCAGGCUGGCCUAACCUCUGUGUGUCUGUCUAGACUGUAGCUGCUUCUCUAGAUAUGAGUACAGCCCAUAUACCUGGAGCAUUAAAGCCAUUGGCCUCCUCUUAGUCAUUGCUUAGUCACUGAUAGGACCUGACUUCAGUGGUACAUGGAUAGCUGAAUGUGUGGAUAAAAAUAUAGAGAUACAUUUAUAUAAUUAUACUAUAUGGUUCUGUGUGUGGAAUGACUUCAAUGGGGGGAAAAGUGACCUUAGGGUGGCGUCUGUUGAAUCACAUCGUGACAAGAUGGGUUAUCAACCUGCAUCCCAGACACACUACGUAUCAGGAAGCCAAAUGCAUUUCUCAUCCUUCUGAUCAACACAUUUUUCAGGGUUACCUCAAAACACGACUUGUUAUUAUUUUUUUACCUGUUUCACCUGAUUCAGAUGAGACUGCUAGGCAGAGAUAGAAGCAUCCUGGCCAGGUUUACGAGAAUUAGAUUCUGUGUUGGAGGAUGUUCCAAGACAUUGUAAUGUGCCACCUUCUCCUCCCGCUCCUCCUUGUGUCCUCCACGCAGGUUGUUGACCCAUCCUAAGCAUUUGUAUUUGUCUGUUGAUAAGGAAAACCUGUCUGUCCGUCGAUCACUGUCAGCCAGCGUCUCCAGAUUUGAUCUGACACAUCUGUGAAAAUGGAACACUUUCUAUUGCCUGUCUUCAAUCACUAUCCCCUCAAAAAUCGUUUUCUUCCACCCCUUCUACUGUUUCUGUUUCAUUGUCAUUCUGGCUCAGUGAUACUGUUGGUUUUGUACAGGAAGAUAGACCUCUUUAGAUUCAAGCCUACAGGUUUGAUGGCGGGUUAAACAUUUGUAUACAUAAAGUAGAUUAUCAAUAGAAAUAAAUAGAAAAAAGGGUCUGAUUGAAAUAGCUAUAUAUUUUCUUGUUUUGAGAAAGGGAAAGGUCAAAAAGAUGCAGUACAUAUUUUUUUAGACGCAUGGGUAUUUGAUGACUCAAAGUUAAAACCGAUAGGUAAGACUUUUAAAACGUAAUCAGGAAUGUUUUGAAUUUUUCACAAUAUUGACGGGAAUUGAUUCUUGAUGAAAUAUUUUUUUUUUAAUUUAUUGCUUUUAGGAAGGCCCUGGUUGAACAUGACUUUGAAAAUAUAGGUAUAUUUUGGAUGAAUUGGAAUCAGAUGUGUUGGUAGAAACAAAACAGCCAAAUGUGGUGUGUCUAAUAUUUGAUAACAAUGUAGCAUUUACGGCUAAUAAUGAUAUGGAGAGAUUUAACACAUUGGUCAGUGUACAUAUUUCCAAUUUUAACUAUGUAUAUCAUAAUAAUAACAAAGUGUUGCUAUUUUGGAGAGAAUACACAAACUGCUUGAACUAUGCAAAUAAAAAAGUUGUAAAUCAUAUGCUCGCUUUAGGAAAACCUUCUUGCAAUAAAGUGAAUGUUUACACAUAUAUAUAUACACUAUGUGUUUCUUUUAACAUACUUUCAAAAUAUCUCUGCCAUACUUUCUAAGAAAAUGGUAAUCGUAUUCACAGAUGUUGUUACUGUUGCUUUGAUCUUGUUAUGGGUGUGGAGUAUCACUGCCAAAUUAAUCAUACUACUGAGAUUGUUUACUCACCUUUCUGUCUGUUAUAUUAAUAGACAUUUACUGAGAAUAUCAUAAGGACUCUAUUACCUAUAUCAUUAGGACUUUGUUCAAUUCUAUCGUAUGUGUGUCUGGAUAAAUAAACCUGAAGAUAUCAUGCAGACUUCAACUGUCCUUUGACUGUCAGUAUUCCUUUAAAACCUUAUUUUCUGCAUUUAGGAUACAUUUGUCAGACAUAUGAUCAACAAGUUGGGUUAGAGGUCCAUGGUCAUUGACAUGGAAAUCCUUCAGAGCACUCAUUGAGAAUGCUGUGCAAUGGUCAGUGCUACUACACUUCAUAGGAAAGUUCUUCACAACCCCUAAUAAAUGACAUUUUGGUUAAUGUAAGCUAA
Molecule: long non-coding RNA, 6165 nt
Organism: Esox lucius (northern pike)
Lineage: Eukaryota; Metazoa; Chordata; Actinopteri; Esociformes; Esocidae
Source: Ensembl